AUUGAACGCUGGCGGCAUGCUUUACACAUGCAAGUCGAGCGGCAGCGCGGGGGCAACCCUGGCGGCGAGCGGCGAACGGGUGAGUAAUGCAUCGGAACGUGUCCCGUAGUGGGGGAUAACCCGGCGAAAGCCGGGCUAAUACCGCAUAUGCUCUACGGAGGAAAGGGGGGGAUCCGCAAGGACCUCUCGCUAUGGGAGCGGCCGAUGUCCGAUUAGCUUGUUGGUGGGGUAAUGGCUUACCAAGGCGACGAUCGGUAGCUGGUCUGAGAGGAUGAUCAGCCACACUGGGACUGAGACACGGCCCAGACUCCUACGGGAGGCAGUAGUGGGGAAUUUUGGACAAUGGGGGCAACCCUGAUCCAGCCAUGCCGCGUGCGGGAAGAAGGCC
RNAcentral lists this ribosomal RNA (388 nucleotides) under uncultured bacterium. Its description in RNAcentral is "bacterial SSU rRNA". It matches the Rfam family "Bacterial small subunit ribosomal RNA", at positions 28 to 416 of the family's 1533-position model. The record is from RNAcentral.